UUGCAUUCCCAAAACAGAGCACUGAAACACUGACUAUACUUGGUUUUCUUUUCUUUCAAUACAGGUAAAAUUCCUGGGCACAGUAGUUUAUGUGAACACAGUGAAAAUAUCUUACGUUGUUGUUUUGGAGUCUACAUGUUGUAGUUGGUGAUGACCAUGAAUCCUGCUGAAGGUGAGGAAGAAAUUACAACUAUUAGAGAGGAGCUCAACAAGCAUUAUGAUCUCCUAAGAACAUUAGGCCAAGGGACUUUCGCUGAAGUCAAGUUGGCCAAGCAUAAAAUAAGUAAAAAGAUAGUGGCAAUCAAGAUUAUAAAUAAAGUAGAAAACUCUGACCACCCUUGUUCUGAAGCCCUAAUAUUAAGAAACCUGAAUCAUCCACAUAUUGUCAAACUAUACCAUGUUAUUGAAAGCCCUAUGACAACUUGUUUGGUGCUUGAGUAUGCUACCAAAGGUGACCUCCUUGAAUAUGUUAUGGAGUACAAAUGUCUGAAGGAAGAGGAGGCCUGCAGGAUAUUCCACCAGCUUGCAGAUGCUGUAGAAUUUUGUCACAAAAAUCACGUUGUACAUCGUGAUCUCAAACCAGAAAAUAUACUAAUUGAUAAUGACUAUAACAUUAAACUGAGUGAUUUUGGCCUCAGUGCCUUUUUUUCAGAUGAGAAACAACUCGAAUUAUAUUGUGGUACAUUGCCAUUUAUGGCCCCAGAAAUUAUACGGUGCCAACCUUACCACGGCCCAGAAGUAGACAUUUGGAGUCUUGGUAUAAUUCUGUUUUUCAUGGUCACAGGUUCAGUUCCGUUUCCAUCAGAGAAUUUUGCAGAGCUGGAAGGACAGUUUCUUCAGCUAAAGAAAGUCAUGCCAGCUUACAUCUCACCAGAAUUGUAUUCUCUCAUAUGUGACAUAUUAAAAAUUGAUCCUCUAGAAAGACCUCUAAUAACACACCUCAAGAGGCACACAUGGCUAAAGAACUCACCACCGGGUUGCAUAAGAAAUAAGCGCAAGGCUUCUUAUGCUCGUGUUACGAAAGUUAUGUGUGCGAUGGGGUUCAGCCUACGUGACAUCAGGGAGAGUCUACUGUAUGACCAGUACGACAGCACAAUGGCAGCAUACCUCUUAUUAGAAGAAAUGUCACCUGAAGAUGCUGUCAAUGCCAUACAGACCAAAGCACAAGACCAAGGAGAUACAACUUGCAAGCUCCCCAUCAUUUCAUCAGUAAUACAGAGAGACAGGGAGCCUUGUGGGCACAGUAUCACCCCGCCCUUGCAAAAUUGUGUGUCUAAGGAUGAGGCCAGCUCAUCAGAGGAGAGCAUGAGCAAGGCCUCAACAGCACCUCCAACUCGCCCUCGCUAUAGGCGGCUGAUGAGCUCAUCUGCUUGGAACCCAUCAGACCCACCUGGUGCUGGCUCUGUGCCAGUCUGCACAAAUGCAAGUGGGAGGCACUAUGGGCAGCCAAUGAGCUCAUCCCCUGGGAGCCCAUUGGCCAAGCCUGGUACUGACCUUGUGCCAGUCUGCAUGAGUGGAAGCGGGAGGCAAAUAUACAUUAGGGACUUGUUCCUUGCCCAGAGUUCUCCAGACACUCUAGUAGAUUGGAAUUCCAAAGCUGCCUGCUUCACAGGCACAAGUGCUAACUCCCAGGGGCUUGUUGGAAGAGCUUCCACUGCCAACAAUGAAUCAAAGCACAGCCUAUCCCCAUACUCUCAAGUGGUGUUAGUUAACUUAACUCGUUGGUGCUACCCAGUUUCAGCAGAGGUCACCAACAAUCUAAGAAAAGUCAACAAAUCUGUCCAAGUUUCGGUGGUGAAAAACUCCCUGGCACCAUCAAAUUCUCAAUUCACUACCAGAGAUACUUGUCAAAGCACUCAAACUUAUUCACCAACCCACUCAUCAGUACUGGAGGACAACCUCAGUGGUCAGCCCCAAGUUGCACCAACCAUCAAGCACAACACAGAAGUCAUCAACCCCAUUGAAGACUCCAAGAAAAAAAAUACCUCCUUGAGACAGUCAUGUCCCAAAUUUGCUACCAUGAUUGCUGGUCACAGCACCAAAUACUACUCAUCCUACCGGUCCUCACUACCUGAAAAUGAUGAAAGUGGUCAGCCCCAAGUUGUACCAAUCACCAACCAUGACUCAGGGGACAUUGUUCCUACUGAAGAUUCCAUAAAGCAAAACACCCUUUCCACACAAGGCAGCAACGAAACUGCCAUUGAGAAGUGUAACAUAAAUCACGAACAGACCAAAGAUUCUAAAAAGAGAAGUCAUCAAAGUAUCCUAAGGAGGAUUUUAUCCUGCCUCCGCAGAUUGUGUUGCUGUUGCCUGGGGACCAAAGCCAAAUGCCCUAAAGUUGGAAAGAAAAUUGCUCCUCAGAGUUGUCAUCACUCAGAGGGUUGAUUGAGAGGAUGUCAGCUCCAAGGAUGAUGACACCAUGGGCCAUAUGUACAAAUACCAGGAGGAAGAAAUGAGGUAUUGUUUUUAUAACUGAGGACUCAGCAUGCCUGAACCAGGGACCACAUCUAUUUCAGCAGACUGACUUGCCUGUGACUCCAGAAUGGAUCUCCUCCAACGAUAGACCUCCGACCACUGGAUAGCAUACUUGUAACACUGGACACAUCUGCUACAUCAUCUUGCCACUCAGAAUAGUUUGAGACUUAAACUGGCUAUCCUGAACAAGACAACAGCUUUCUUGCAACAUCAGAACGACCAGCCAAACAAGUUGUAUGUAUGCCACCCGUGGUGCAGCUGUCCUUCAGUGCCCUCCUGCCACCCCAUACGUGGGAUUCCUGACUAUAUUUAGGAUCUCUAGCUACAUCAUUGUGAGCCUCCUACAAUGUCCAGCAGCCUUGUCCAAUCUCUAGCAACUGCAUACUGGGUCUCCAGCAACCUCAGAUCAACCAGCUCAUCAAGCUAUGUGCCAUCCAUCAAACUCCAGUAACUGCAUACUGGGUUUCCAGCAACCUCAGACCAACCAGCCCAUCAAGCUAUGUGUCAUCCAUCAAACUACCUUUCAUCAAUUUGUACUUUU
RNA transcript from Dipodomys ordii (Ord's kangaroo rat), 3016 nucleotides. It is a transcript of the gene named serine/threonine-protein kinase MARK2-like, with no coding region annotated. The record is from RefSeq and is a predicted model, not a curated record. Lineage: Eukaryota; Metazoa; Chordata; Mammalia; Rodentia; Heteromyidae. The transcript is spliced from 4 exons.